GACGAACGCUGGCGGCGUGCUUAACACAUGCAAGUCGAACGGAAAGGCCAUGCUUUUGUGGGGUGCUCGAGUGGCGAACGGGUGAGUAACACGUGAGUAACCUGCCCUUGACUUUGGGAUAACUUCAGGAAACUGGGGCUAAUACCGGAUAGGAGCUCCUGCUGCAUGGUGGGGGUUGGAAAGUUUCGGCGGUUGGGGAUGGACUCGCGGCUUAUCAGCUUGUUGGUGGGGUAGUGGCUUACCAAGGCUUUGACGGGUAGCCGGCCUGAGAGGGUGACCGGCCACAUGGGGACUGAGAUACGGCCCAGACUCCUACGGGAGGCAGCAGUGGGGAAUAUUGCACAAUGGGCGGAAGCCUGAUGCAGCAACGCCGCGUGCGGGAUGACGGCCUUCGGGUUGUAAACCGCUUUCGCCUGUGACGAAGCGUGAGUGACGGUAAUGGGUAAAGAAGCACCGGCUAACUACGUG
This 468-nucleotide ribosomal RNA is filed under the name uncultured bacterium. Its description in RNAcentral is "partial 16S ribosomal RNA". It matches the Rfam family "Bacterial small subunit ribosomal RNA", at positions 28 to 507 of the family's 1533-position model. The record is from RNAcentral.